UACGUAGGGUGCAAGCGUUGUCCGGAAUUAUUGGGCGUAAAGAGCUCGUAGGCGGUUUGUCGCGUCGGCUGUGAAAACCUGGGGCUCAACCCCGGGCAUGCAGCCGAUACGGGCAAACUAGAAUUCGGUAGGGGAGACUGGAAUUCCUGGUGUAGCGGUGAAAUGCGUAGAUAUCAGGAGGAACACCGGUGGUGUAGACGGCUCUCUGGACCGUAACUGACGCUGAGACACGAAAGCGUGGGUAGCAAACAGG
RNAcentral lists this ribosomal RNA (253 nucleotides) under uncultured bacterium. RNAcentral describes it as "partial 16S ribosomal RNA". It matches the Rfam family "Bacterial small subunit ribosomal RNA", at positions 524 to 776 of the family's 1533-position model. The record is from RNAcentral.